This 210-nucleotide unclassified non-coding RNA is filed under the name Hevea brasiliensis (rubber tree). The record is from RNAcentral. Lineage: Eukaryota; Viridiplantae; Streptophyta; Magnoliopsida; Malpighiales; Euphorbiaceae.
GGAUUUCAUUCGGACUUUUUCUAGGGAGGCGUGUGCUCCUAUCAUGCAUACUGGGGCCCCCCGCCGACCCAUCUUCUCAUGGACCCCACAUUCCUCCAUUGCUAGCGUCCCUCUCCUUCCAUCUCUAGUGAUCUCCUCUAUAAAUUCAUGCGUGACCCAAGUGCAGAGCUAUAGCCAUUCGCACUAUAACCUUCCAGAUUUCCAAGUUUU